Molecule: ribosomal RNA, 297 nt
Filed under: uncultured bacterium
Lineage: Bacteria
Description: partial 16S ribosomal RNA
Rfam family: Bacterial small subunit ribosomal RNA
Source: RNAcentral
GACGAACGCUGGCGGCGUGCUUAACACAUGCAAGUCGAGCGGUAAGGCCCUUUCGGGGGUACACGAGCGGCGAACGGGUGAGUAACACGUGGGUGACCUGCCCUCAGCUCUGGGAUAAGCCUUGGGAAACCGGGUCUAAUACUGGAUAUGACUCCAUGACGCAUGGUUGUGGGGUGGAAAGCCUUGUGCGGCUGAGGAUGGGCCCGCGGCCUAUCAGCUUGUUGGUGGGGUNANGGCCUACCAAGGCGACGACGGGUAGCCGGCCUGAGAGGGCGACCGGCCACACUGGGACUGAGA